Molecule: ribosomal RNA, 478 nt
Filed under: uncultured bacterium
Lineage: Bacteria
Description: partial 16S ribosomal RNA
Rfam family: Bacterial small subunit ribosomal RNA
Source: RNAcentral
GAUGAACGCUGGCGGCGUGCCUAACACAUGCAAGUCGAACGGAGUCCAGCCUUUAAGACCUUCGGGUCAAAGAGGGGAAGACUGAGUGGCGGACGGGUGAGUAACACGUGGGCAACCUGGCUCAUAGAGGGGGAUAACAGAGAGAAAUUUCUGCUAAUACCGCAUAAGCACACACUGCCGCAUGGCAGAGGGUGAAAAGAGAAUCACUAUGAGAUGGACCCGCGUCUGAUUAGCCAGUUGGCAGGGUAAGAGCCUACCAAAGCGACGAUCAGUAGCCGAUCUGAGAGGAUGAACGGCCACAUUGGGACUGAGACACGGCCCAAACUCCUACGGGAGGCAGCAGUGGGGGAUAUUGCACAAUGGGGGGAACCCUGAUGCAGCGACGCCGCGUGAGUGAAGAAGUAUUUCGGUAUGUAAAGCUCUAUCAGCAGGGAAGAUAAUGACAGUACCUGAAUAAGAAGCCCCGGCUAACUACGUG